CAUUUGUAUGCAUUUCCCAUAGGGUCCUAUGUUAAACUAAGUCCCCCGCUGGCGGCAAUCUUGGAUAAUGGAUCGGCUACAAAGUAACAACACUUGGUCAGCACCACAUUAGGAACAUUCAUGCUAUGUUUGAUUUCAUUCCAUUCAGUGGUUCUCUAAAAGAAGUCAUUUGUAUGCAUUUCCCAUAGGGUCCUAUGUUAAACUAAGUCC
RNAcentral lists this long non-coding RNA (210 nucleotides) under Mytilus galloprovincialis (Mediterranean mussel). The record is from RNAcentral. Lineage: Eukaryota; Metazoa; Mollusca; Bivalvia; Mytilida; Mytilidae.